CAGCAAUUUGAUUCAUGAAAAAUAAAGAGGAUACAAACCACUCUUUAAAUUCCCAUGAAUCUUCAAUGAGAUUUGUCAAUUCUUUACUUAGAAUCACUCUAAUGUCUUCUUAUCUCAAGAUUAGUACAAAUUUAGCUUCAAGGUCCGAGUGAUAAAACCCUAAGACUAGGAUAAAGAAGAUGAAUAAUGAAUGAUUGAAUAAGGGUUUUAAGCCCUUUUUGAGAAUUG
This 228-nucleotide long non-coding RNA is filed under the name Capsicum annuum. RNAcentral describes it as "long non-coding RNA (CANN_LNC016461)". The record is from RNAcentral. Lineage: Eukaryota; Viridiplantae; Streptophyta; Magnoliopsida; Solanales; Solanaceae.